CUAGCGACUUCAGAGUUUGAUCCUGGCUCAGGACGAACGCUGGCGGCGUGCUUAACACGUGCAAGUCGAGCGGGGAUUGAUGAUGUCUUCGGACGGAUUCAAUUCUAGCGGCGGACGGGUGAGUAACGCGUGAGCAAUCUGUCCUACACAGGGGGAUAACACUUGGAAACAGGUGCUAAUACCGCAUAAGACCACGAGGUCGCAUGGCCACGGGGUAAAAGAUUUAUCGGUGUAGGGUGAGCUCGCGUCCCAUUAGCUAGUUGGUGAGGUAACGGCCCACCAAGGCGACGAUGGGUAGCCGACCCGAGAGGGUGAUCGGCCACAUUGGAACUGAGACACGGCCCAG
This 346-nucleotide ribosomal RNA is filed under the name uncultured bacterium. RNAcentral's name for it is "bacterial SSU rRNA". It matches the Rfam family "Bacterial small subunit ribosomal RNA", at positions 1 to 334 of the family's 1533-position model. The record is from RNAcentral.